Molecule: ribosomal RNA, 253 nt
Filed under: uncultured bacterium
Lineage: Bacteria
Description: partial 16S ribosomal RNA
Rfam family: Bacterial small subunit ribosomal RNA
Source: RNAcentral
UACGGAGGGUGCAAGCGUUAAUCGGAAUUACUGGGCGUAAAGCGCACGCAGGUGGCUGAGUCGGUCGAUUGUGAAAGCCCCGGGCUUAACCUGGGAAUUGCAUCUGAUACUGUCUGACUAGAGUAUGCUAGAGGGAAGUGGAAUUCCAGGUGUAGCGGUGAAAUGCGUAGAUAUCUGGAGGAACACCAAUGGCGAAGGCAACUUCCUGGCCUGUUCUUGACGCUGAGGCGCGAAAGCUAGGGGAGCAAACGGG